RNAcentral lists this ribosomal RNA (253 nucleotides) under uncultured bacterium. Its description in RNAcentral is "partial 16S ribosomal RNA". It matches the Rfam family "Bacterial small subunit ribosomal RNA", at positions 524 to 776 of the family's 1533-position model. The record is from RNAcentral.
UACGGAGGGUGCAAGCGUUAUCCGGAUUCACUGGGUUUAAAGGGUGCGUAGGCGGAUAGGUAAGUCCGUGGUGAAAUCCUGCAGCUUAACUGCAGAACUGCCGUGGAUACUAUCUAUCUUGAAUGUCGUGGAGGUUAGCGGAAUAUGUCAUGUAGCGGUGAAAUGCUUAGAUAUGACAUAGAACACCCAUUGCGAAGGCAGCUAACUACGCGAUAAUUGACGCUGAUGCACGAAAGCGUGGGGAGCAAACAGG